RNAcentral lists this long non-coding RNA (756 nucleotides) under Cyanistes caeruleus (blue tit). RNAcentral describes it as "lncRNA (ENSCCEG00000003873.1)". Lineage: Eukaryota; Metazoa; Chordata; Aves; Passeriformes; Paridae. The record is from RNAcentral.
AUGGGUUUGCCUUGCUGUCCAUUGCCUCAUAUUGGUUUGGAAGUGUGGGGCCUGUCUCGGCCUCCUUCGGGACGCUCCUCCCUGCGAAGUGGAUAUUUCCUGUGCAAGGAUGGAGUUGCUGUCCUGUCCUCAGAACUUCUGGUGGCCCUUCCUCUUUUUGACACGCCCCGUGUGCCUUUGCAGUAUCGAGAGGAGGAUUCCAGAGCUGCAGCCACUCUGCUGUGCCAGCACACAGAGAAGGAUGUGACACCGUUUUUCCAGAGUGAUAACUGUGGUUUAAAAGAAGCCAGCGCUGCCAGGAGAGCAGAGGGCGGAUCCGAGAUAAGGACCCGUGGGCAGUGAAGCUGCUGAAAUUAUGGUUCAGGCUGGUGCCAGACGUGACAGAGAGCAGGGUCUGAAGCUCAUCUCCACUUGUUCUGAGUGAAACCCUUCAGCCAGAGUGCCAGAGUGAGUUCUCACCUCCGGGGACAGCUGAGUGUGGUCCCCAAAGCUGUCAUCAGGUGUGGCCAGCAGGGCAGGAGAAGGUUUUCAAGGCAUUGCUGGAGGUGCUGGCUCUAAGCACAGGGUAGCACAAGAUGUUUGCUCUGUGCUGCUGCUGCAAGUUAUGUUUAGCCUCUUGGAAAUAUUCCCAGCCCACCAGGAGUCAUUUCUGACUAACAGGCACCCCUUAAUCUGUCUCUAAUCCCCCCCUAUAAUUUUACACCUCUUUAGCCUCAUCCAAAUAAAAACCCUCAGUUGCUUAAGUAACGAUUGAUG